RNAcentral lists this long non-coding RNA (743 nucleotides) under Drosophila guanche. Lineage: Eukaryota; Metazoa; Arthropoda; Insecta; Diptera; Drosophilidae. The record is from RNAcentral.
CUGGGAAAUUAUGAAAACACAAAUUCGAAAAUUGGAGACACACAAUCGGGACAAUGUUCGGGGUAUUAAACGUUUACGAUACGAUACGAGACACGAUACAGAGUCAACACAAAUUGUGUUUAAUUUUAAAACAAGAUAAAGUUUAACGAAAAUAGCAAAAAGUUCGAUGCGAUAUCGAAAGGCAAUAAGAAAUUAGCAGACUUAUUGAAAAUUCCAUAUGAGUGGAGGGGAGGCAGAGAGGGAAGAAAUUGCAUCAAGGCGGUGCCAGCUUUGAUGUAUUCUGGCCAUAACGACUCUCGGCAAUUGCUUGCUGACAUGCAAAGAACAUAAUUUUUUCAGUCCAAAACGAAAUUGAUAAACAAUCUCCGUCGUGGUGGUGGUGGUGUUUGCACUUUGCCGGCAAAAGCGAAGACAACUCAAUUGAUUUGUUUACAAGUGCCAUUAAUGUUAGUUGGCAUCAGCACUAGCUCCGUGCCCUGCCCCUCCCUGGUAUGUAAAUGGUUGCCCUCGCCUCCCCAACAUUUCCAUAAACUUGCUGCACUUUUUGUUCCCGUUUCGUAUCUUAUCUGGGGCACUCUUCGGGGCAUUUGAUCGUCAUCGCCAUCGUAGUUUGCUCUUAUUUUCGAUGUAGUUUCAUUUUCCAUUUCCUUUGAUUUUGUCCCUCCCUUAUCUCUUCUCCCAUGCGACUUCAAUUUGUUUUCAAUUUACAACAAUUUCGUUUCAGGUCGUUUUGUCAAUAUGAU